AUCCGUAUUUUCAUGCCAGUACCGAAGUACUGGUUACUGGGCUGGUGAUACCCUCGGGGACUAAUAGUCCACCAGCAGAGGCAUCGACCCAGUGAUAGUAAUACAAUUAACGGUAUCAAUUUUCUUGCACCAGAUGCGCAUUUCGACAUUACAUGUCUCUUCAGUGAUGCUCGUGGCCAAAAUAUUUGAAAUCCAAAGCUUAUAUAAAAGAUGAAGAGCUAUAAUCCAAAAGGUCCAAAAAGUAUAGCCAAAUCCGUGAAAGGAAUCAGAGCUUUGCAUGAGGGAGAUACAUUCAU
RNAcentral lists this long non-coding RNA (296 nucleotides) under Mytilus galloprovincialis (Mediterranean mussel). The record is from RNAcentral. Lineage: Eukaryota; Metazoa; Mollusca; Bivalvia; Mytilida; Mytilidae.